This 402-nucleotide unclassified non-coding RNA is filed under the name soil metagenome. RNAcentral describes it as "partial contains 5.8S ribosomal RNA, internal transcribed spacer 2, and large subunit ribosomal RNA". The stretch from base 1 to 121 matches the Rfam family "5.8S ribosomal RNA", at positions 35 to 154 of the family's 154-position model. The record is from RNAcentral.
GAUGAAGAACGUAGCGAAAUGCGAUAAGUAAUGUGAAUUGCAGAAUUCAGUGAAUCAUCGAAUCUUUGAACGCACCUUGCGCCCUUUGGCUAUUCUGAAGGGCAUGCCUGUUUGAGUAUCAUGAACACCUCAACUCUCAUGGUUUGCCAUGAUGAGCUUGGACUUUGGGGGUCUUGCUGGCCUACGGUCAGCUCCUCUCAAAUGAAUCAGCUUGCCAGUGUUUGGUAGAGUCGCAGGUGUGAUAACUAUCUACGCUUGUGGUUUUCUGCCAGAUAACCUUCAGUGAUGGAGGUUCGCUGGAGCUUAUAAAUGUCUCUCCCCAGUGAGGACAGCUUUUUGAACGUUUGAUCUCAAAUCAGGUAGGACUACCCGCUGAACUUAAGCAUAGCAAUAAGCGGAGGA